GAUGAACGCUGGCGGCGUGCCUAAUACAUGCAAGUCGAGCGAACGGACGAGAAGCUUGCUUCUCUGACGUUAGCGGCGGACGGGUGAGUAACACGUGGAUAACCUACCUAUAAGACUGGGAUAACUUCGGGAAACCGGAGCUAAUACCGGAUAAUAUUUUGAACCGCAUGGUUCAAUAGUGAAAGACGGUCUUGCUGUCACUUAUAGAUGGAUCCGCGCUGCAUUAGCUAGUUGGUAAGGUAACGGCUUACCAAGGCAACGAUGCGUAGCCGACCUGAGAGGGUGAUCGGCCACACUGGAACUGAGACACGGUCCAGACUCCUACGGGAGGCAGCAGUAGGGAAUCUUCCGCAAUGGGCGAAAGCCUGACGGAGCAACGCCGCGUGAGUGAUGAAGGUCUUCGGAUCGUAAAACUCUGUUAUUAGGGAAGAACAUAUGUGUAAGUAACUGUGCACGUCUUGACGGUACCUAAUCAGAAAGCCACGGCUAACUACGUG
RNAcentral lists this ribosomal RNA (497 nucleotides) under uncultured bacterium. RNAcentral describes it as "partial 16S ribosomal RNA". It matches the Rfam family "Bacterial small subunit ribosomal RNA", at positions 28 to 507 of the family's 1533-position model. The record is from RNAcentral.